Molecule: RNA transcript, 8804 nt
Organism: Chroicocephalus ridibundus (black-headed gull)
Lineage: Eukaryota; Metazoa; Chordata; Aves; Charadriiformes; Laridae
Gene name: heparan sulfate glucosamine 3-O-sulfotransferase 1-like
Exons: 4
Source: RefSeq, a predicted model, not a curated record
GCCCGACUGUGGGGCGAGGUCCCGCUGACAGCGGGCUGGGCGGCGCGCGUGCCGCGACCGUUGAGCCCUAACGGUUCCCCGCGCAGCAGGCGCGAGCCGGCGUCACCUGCCCUGAGGGAUCCUCCUCCCUCAGACCUGCCGGGGCACGGGCGGCCGCGGCGAGCCGGGCGCAGCCUCCGCUCCCUUCCCCUCCCUCCGCGCCGAGGGAGCCCUGCGCCGAGCGGCGAACUCCGGCAGGAGGAUCGCUCCCCUGCGCCCUGCCUAGCCCCAGCCCCCGCUCCCCUCCGCCUUGCCUCCUCCUCUGGUCACUGGGACUGAUGAAUUAAUCAUGAUGCGGCCGCUGUUAAUGCAUUUAUGUGGAGCGGGCUGUGCCACCGGCUCAAGGCGCAGCGCGGUGGGGUGAGGGAGUGAGGAGAGCGCCGGCCCCUCCGCUCCAGCGCGGAGCCGCCGCCUGCAGCCGUGCGGAGCCGAUGCCGCGGCCACACUGCUCUCCAUGGCUCCGGAGGAGAUGCUUCAGAAACUUGCUGUGUGUUUACCACGGGUUCUGCCAACCAGCUCGAGAGGGGACUUACCUAUUCUUUCAUUAGUUGAGCAUAAUAUUAUCUUGAACUAAUUAUUUCUCUCCACAUGGCCUUCCUACUAGUGUCAGCUUAUCUUCUGCUGACUCACACUCAGGGUGCUCCUGUUGAGAACGGGGCACUGUUGGAAACACUGAAGUCACAAGUAGGAUUAUUCAGCAAUAAAAGCGAACACUAUUCAGCACAGGUGAAACCUCCUGGCACAAGCCGACAAAUACCUCAGACAAUCAUCAUAGGAGUUCGUAAAGGAGGGACAAGGGCUUUGCUGGAAAUGUUGGAUAUUCAUCCUAAUAUUGUAGUAGCAGCUACAGAAGUCCACUUCUUUGACUGGGAUGAAAAUUAUGUGAAAGGAAUAGACUGGUAUAGAAGUCUGAUGCCAUUUUCUUAUGGAAAUCAAAUUACAAUUGAGAAAACACCAGGCUAUUUUACAUCACCGCAGGCUCCAGAAAGAAUUCAUGACAUGAAUAGCUCCAUUAAACUGCUGCUCAUUCUAAGAGAUCCCACUGAGAGGGUUAUAUCUGACUAUACCCAAGUGUAUUACAACAGAGUAGAAAGCCACAAGCCUGUUCAGCUUUUUGAAGAUAUUGUUAUUAAGAAUGGAGCACUUAAUACCAAAUACAAAGCUAUUCAGAGAAGCCUAUAUGAUGUUCAUAUGGAAAAGUGGCUUAAGCAUUUCAGUUUGGAUCAGAUUCACAUAGUGGAUGGCAAUACUUUAAUCAAGGACCCUCUUCCUGAAUUACAAAAAGUUGAAAGAUUUCUGAAUCUUCCUUCCCGAAUUAUGUCUUCUAAUUUUUAUUUUAACCAAACCAAGGGAUUCUACUGCAUUAGAAGUGAUGGAAGGGAGAGAUGUUUACACGAAUCCAAAGGGCGCCCCCAUCCUCUUGUUAACAACACCGUUUUAGAGCAACUGUAUUCUUACUUCAGAGAGCACAAUGCAAAAUUUUACAGAAUGGUUAAUCAUUCCUUUGACUGGCAUUAAUGCCUUUGGAAUCAAUGUUUCUUAAAAAGGGCCUGAAAAAAACUCUUUCAAGCAUAUCUUUCUAAACUGUAAAGAUUCAUGUUAUGAGAACUUAACAUACUGGUUAUAUGCUUCUUUGGAAUAACCCAUCUGUUAUCUCAUUGAAUUGGUACCUUUUACAUUGGGGAAAAAUAUGUUUCACGUAUUUGUAUGAUUACUGUGAGUCAUAUUCUGAUCUUCUUUCUCCCAUCAUGCAAAUACAUUAACUUCAGCAGACUUACUUCAGAUAUGUAUCUGUUACAAGAUUUGUGCUGUUUUGGAAAAAUGACUGCUUCUAACAGUGUAAAAUAUGUAAAUAUUUGAAAUGGUAUUAUUCUAACUGUUCUGUAUUUUUUGUUGUUAGUAUUUUUUAUAUUACGCACAAUGAUAGUGGUGUUGAUUUCUAGAAUUUUUCAUACAAUAAGCUAAAUUGUAUGUUAAAACAGGAGCAUACAUAGUGGCUCCAAUAAAUAAUUCAUCCUCUGUUAAUAUGCCGAAGUUCUUAACCAAUUCAUAAUAAAAUGAAUCUAUUUCGCCUAUGAUUUUGAAUAGGUGAACUAGAAGCUCACUGUCUGUAUAUCAUUAGUAUUAAACCACACUCAUACUACCUUGGGUUUAAAAACAAAAAUAAUCUCCAAACAAAGAAUAUGAACUGUUUGAAGAAGCUUUAAGUGAGAGUUCUGAAUGUAAAGAAAUUAAAUGAUCCCAGCUUCUCAGGACACUGGUGAGCUGUAGUUGUGUGGGCCCACUCUGAGCAUCGCAGCAUCAAAUUCCACUGAAACCCUGUUGAGAAUCCUGAAUCUGUGUCCUUCUGUCUAAGCCGCUGUGCAGCCUACAGGAGCAUGUGUUCCUAACGUGGGAUUCAGUCUUCCACUUCAGAGGCUAAAAGGCAUCAAGUCUUUCUCUCUCUUCUCUGAAGUUUACAGCUAAUCUUUAAAUGAGUUGAAUGCAGGAACACUGGUUGGCAGAAGCUGUAUGCGUCUUUGAAAAUGCAGGUCUCUUUCAGGCAUUUACAUUUCAAGGAGAGCUGAUCUUUAUGGAUUUGUGACGCAUAUAUCUACUUGAUUUGUUAGCACUCUUCAUUCCUAAUCAGCAUUUUUGGGAAGGACAGAAUUGAUGGAAUGAAUUGAAUGAUCAUUUUAGAGUUUACUAAUAUCAGAAGAAAUAGAUUAUGCAUAUUAUGAUUUGGGAGACGGGUUGGUUGUUUUGGUUUGGUUUUGCAUAAAUCAAGAUUCUCAUCUGAAGUUUUGUUUUGGUAAAUGGUCUACAAAGAUACAACUUAACCUCAGCGUAACAGAAUUCAAUAAAUAUAGUAGACUAUAAUUUAACAUCACAAACUGUUUCAAUCAGUUUCUGAUUUUGUGGUCUGAAAAAUAUUAUGAGGUCAUGACCUCCGUUCUUACUGUCUUCAAAAGAUAACACUCCUUCCCUCAUCCUCAGGAAGGGGAUCAGAUCAGCUUAAAGAUCUCCUGACCCAUUCUUUAGUAAUUCUUUAGAAAUAAAAAGUACUCACUUCUUGGCAUUUGGGAUUGAAAACUAGUCUAAUUUUGGAAAGAACUAGAGGCUCACCAUCAGUUUAAAGAUGCUAUUAACAAUUUAAGAAAUUACAAAUAUCUCUUAUGCGUUUCCACAUUGAUAGCAAACCAUAAACUAUUCGUCUCCAAAUUCUCCAAAUCAAAGGACUUUCAUCUCCUUAUCUGAUACUCAAGAGGUAUUUGCAGAAAUAAAUUUCACGUGGGAAGGUUGCUUAAAGAGAUCACGCAGUUGUUUUAAAGGUUGUUGGGAGCAUCUGAAAGAGAUGAUACAGUCACAUGUGUAAGACUACUGCAGAAUUUAUGAUGAUUUGCACAGCUCUUUGAUGUUGUUUUGCAUUCCACAAAUACUAAGCCUUCACUUUAAAUACUGUUCUCUUCCUUUUUUUAGUUAAAGUGCCAUAGUUGUAGUUGCUUUGAUCUAAUAGCACUGAAAAUUACUAAUAUCAAGCAACUGCAGCUGUUAACUGGAUUGGUUUAGCCUUUGCCACAAUAAGCAGCACACUCACACUUAAUACCUAAACGAGUCUAAUAUUAGCAUUUUUUUUAUAUGGGCUAUAUAUAUUACCUAUAGUACAUAAAGAAAAAGCAGAAGGAAACUUAAGAGCCAGGGUUUUGCCCCAAAAAGCUUCUAGUACGUAACUAAUGGGAUGAAAACAAAGAGGUUCCUCUAUUGGACUCACCCAUUAUUUUUCCAGGAAGAGGGUUGGAUUUUUUCAUUGUAUCCUUUGUAUCUUGCUGCUCAAAGGCUUUGGGCUGACUUUUGGCCUUUUCUUUCACAGCUUUUACAGUUCUGCUGAAGAAUACCUGUUAAAGCAGAGACAUUUUUGGAAUAUCCAUAAACAAUAUUGUGGAGACCUUUACAGACAGCAUAUGCUUAGUACGCAUCAUUGUAUGCUGCUGCACAACAUCAGCUCCUUCAGUAUCCGUUUGAUGCUGUAGGGAAGCGCAUCUGCAUGCAGUUUUCAGUCUUCACGCACAUUUCAUGAGUGCAUCAAAAAGAAAUUUUAAAAUUGGGUUGCUUCCAGCAAGUCUGACUGCUUUUUGCCUUUGUCAAUUCAGAUGCUUUUGUGAGUAGGACAAAAAUUUUAAUAUUGUCAAAAUCCUUAUAAUGUCUCGUUUAAUCUAUGUGGUCAGAAACAAAAAUAUGGGUUAUUGCUUUCCUUUAUAGGAGCACAGUUUAAAAAAAAAAAAGUGAGAGAUGCCCCAAUAUCUUGAUGCAUCGUAUGUCUUGCACAAUAACAUUUCCUUGCAGAGAAAGAAACAUUUACAUUAUUUAAGUAAAGAUUAUACUACUGUAGAUUAUUAUUUACUGUACUUUUGGAUUUGAUCCUUCAUUUCCUCCAAAAGCUUGAAUUUUGUCAUAGAAAUGAACAGACACAUUGGAAUUAAAAUCAAUAAUAAUUUGCAUAGCACAUUAAUCAUUACCAGCAGUUAAUAGCCAACGUUUACUGGCCAAAUAAUUUCCACUUUGAUUAUUUCAAGUUUCAAUGUGACUUACUAAAUUGUUCUGCUAUUUUAUAAAACAAAUUUAAAAGUCAGAACCACAGUGGAUAAAAAGACCCUGUAGUAUCAUUCUGUGAUUAUAGAGGAAUUGUCAUGUCUUUAAGGUUAAUUAACAGUGACAUGAGUUUACUGCAAUUCCCGAAAAAUUUUUGGAAGCCAAGAUACUAACGGAACUGCAAAGUAUAAAUUAGUACUUGAGGUUGAAUCUGCUACUAAGGGAAGAUAAAACAGAUUAAAAUGGACUGACACAAAUCAUACUUUCCUGGUAAAGUAGAUGUGAUGCGAAAUGUGCAGUAUCUCAUGUAUUAGCCCAUAUAACAAGUGCUAUGAAGUCUAUUUCCUGAUGCAAAAUGGUCUUACACUUUUACCUUGUAUGUUCUUUUAGUUCCCUUACAAAAACUUCUCAGUAAGUGUUUAAAGAAAAACAUCUUAAUGUAAACUCUUUACCAGUGGUACAGGUUUUCUCUCAAAGGGCAUUUCUCUGGUUUUGUGUUGUUUCCUCUGAGAUAAAAACGUGGUUUGAGUUGCACUGCAAUAAAAAUAGACAGUUAUCGUACCAGAACAAAGAAUAUUACUUCUGUUUAUUACAGUUCCCAGUGAAGAACAUUUUUAUAUAGGGACUGAUAAUAGUUUAACAAUCUCUUUGUAUUUUCUGUCUUCAUUAGAUAAUGCAACUAUGUUAUAGUUUUUCUUAUUCUGAAGAACAUUAAAGCACUGACUUACAGAUCUAAAUCAGAUGGCAGUAAUAAAAGGGAGGCACAGGUAAUUAAGAAUCCGUUCACUUUGCCACUCAGAUUGGCUAAUAUUUGCUUAUUAUUUAACUCUUUAGAUGUGAACAUUUUGAUCCAUCGUAAACUUUCCAUUAGGAAUGCAUCAGUCAAACUUGCAACAGGAAAAAAUAAGGCAAGGGCAACUAGAACGCAAUGAAACCUGAGGUGAAGGCCCUCUUCUGCUAAAUAUUUGUGGACAUAAUAUGGCAUAGUUACAAAUGAAAGUUAUGACUGGCCUGAUAAGACAAUGCACAGGACUAAGUAACAUGUUACUCCAGGGAUUUAUCUAGGUAUUCUAUGUGCCUGGAUUAGUUUUAAGAUCAUUAGGCUAUUAGGGAAAUAUGAGAAUAUACAUUUUCAAAACACUGUAUUUCAUCUUAUUAGAGAAUACUACAAUACUGUAGGACAGGUCUAUCCUUGGGUGAAAUGCUGCAGUGCUACUAAGGCAAAUUGGAUGGGAAGUAACAAUUCUCUACACUAAGUGUUGGGCAUUUUUAAAUUCCUUAUGGAAAAUUAGCAGCACUAGAUAGAGCGGUUUUGUUGUUGAUUUGACAAAGACUGUCAGCCUAGAAAAAUGCUGUGCAACUGUCAUGAGAAGAUUGAAGAUACCUUUUCUGUCCUCUGCCAAGAUACAAAUCUACUACUCAAGACAAGUGACACAGAUGGAACGCUGCAAACUGCAGGGGGUGCAUUGCUGCCUUGAGUGAAGAAAGAUUAAAGACUCAUAAACAACAUAUGCGAUAGUUACACACACACACGAAUCACGUGCAGCUUGCAAAAUACGCUCAGUCUAAAAUAAAAACAAGCAGGGUCUACAGCUGCGCACUAAAGUGGUGCUGUUGAAGGCAUACUGAACCAGGGGCAACAGUUCCAGUACGAGCUAUCUGUAACUUAUUAUUUGUUGUAUUAAUAAACUGAAGUCUGUUUAGGCCAUGCUCUAGGCAUCUUCUGUGAGCCCGCACCAUAUACUGCUCUUAAGAUUUUCACCUUGCAGACAAGGGGUAUUGUAUUCUUAGAUUCAAAGUAAUCUUCAUCCAUUAUGUGUUUACCAGACAAACCAUGUUUAUGUGAUUGAAGUUCCUUGUCAAGUGUACAUACAACAAAAUGAAUAAAACAGAUAAACAGAUUCUCUGAAAAAAAAAACGCUAAUAGGUCAUAUACAUAGGGCCUGUUUAUGUAGAGUAAGCAUAGCAGAACAGGGUUCAAGUAAACUGCCUUUCAUACUUUUCAAAAAUAAACUUUCUGUGUGUUUUCAUUUCCUUUGAUUUUGGGAGGGGAAGUCUCCUCUACAUUGUUUAAUAACAAACUUGGAAUUUUAAAGUUCAAAUUCAUCUGAGAAAUUAAAAUAUUUUGGUUUCAGUGUCUAAAAUAGGAAAUUACCAUUCAAAAGUUAUUACAUUUUUAGUAGCAUUAGAAAACUGUUCACUUUCUUUUUAGUUCUUUUAUGCCUUUUGUCACACCCUCGCGCCUCUCCCUUGAAAAAAUAUUUUCAUAGCAAAUACCCUUUUUGCAAGCUGAUUUCAAAGUUAAAUGGGCAGAGUUCACAAUAUUAAUGACUUGCAUUAGAAUUACAAAGAUUAGGUAGGGUGAUAGCGAAGUCUUACAUUUCCACGACUGGAAAAAAAUGGCAUAUGAAGUAAAACGGUGGUCACCUAAAAUGGGUACCUGCUGAAUCAUACUAAGUAUUGUGUGCUCCAGAUUAUAUAGAGAGAGAUCAGGGAUGCUUCAGCCAUCCAAAUGACUGCUUGCAAUGUGUUUUGUGAGUUUGGAAAGAGUGGUUUCCUGCUUUCAUCAAACAGACGUUCAGGCUUCAAUCUGAGAAAAAUCUGGGUUCCAGUUCUUAGGGUGCUUGUGUGGAAGUGAGCCUUUAGAUGCCUUUUUCCCCCCUCAUAUUAUCUGCAGGACAGAUUUUUGCCAAAUUGCAGUAUGUAUUCCAUUGGUAACAGCAAACUAACUUUGGAAACCCCAUUUAAUUUAUUUUACAAGGUGCUGGGUCCUCCAUUACUUUUGUCCAAAACCCCAGUUGUUGCGGAUGGUAAUUAUUCUAGACAAAUACAACCACCCAGAAAAAUAGGAAUGAAAUGCACUAAUCCAGCUUUCUGUAGCUACUACAUACAAUGAGACAGAAAAUACAGAAGCUUGUUAUCUUGUUAGGGUCCUUUGUCCAUGACUCCUGUUUAUCAAAUAAGUAUUGGAUACAGUUAUAUAUACUUGUAUGACUCCCUAUCCUGAUCAUCUGUAUAUUAUGAUCAAAGGGCACAGGAUUAGGUUACCUCACUUUAAUACUAAAGCCCAGGAUGUUUAUUUCACAUAAAUGCAACUUCACUGCCAGUCACCCACUGUCUUUGAUUUUCUUCUCUAUCUAUAAAUUCUUCUCUUGUGUUUUUUUCUUUAUUAAUGAACACUGGCUUUUUCGUGGAAUAAAUAGUUUUGAUCUUAAAUUUAGUUUUCGUGAUCUGAGAAAAGUAAAAGCUGAAACAUAUACUAUGGCUUCCAAAAAUGAAUAAAUUUUGUUUUUAUGCUCUGUUAGUAUAUCAGGGAAUCAGAUUACAAACUUGUAAACAAUUAAGACAAAAUAGCUAAUCCUAACACACAUAGCAAGCAUAAUGACUGAGGAUAUUUUUUGGAGGACAGGAAAAAAAUUCACCUUCUGUUUUAAAAAAAGACAUAUUUAUUUGAUAUUUAACAGAAGCAUUUGGAUUCAUGUGCUCCAUUAACGUGAAGUGGCACUGGCUUCAGUCAUCUGCGCUGACUGCAGUAAAACUACUCUAAUUUGUAGCUGAGGAUCUAGCCUAAAACGCAUCUAUGCACAGAAUGCUACUUCAGUGUUAGGUGGCUGAUAAGGCAAAUGAAAUAAGUCUACUUUCUGAAACAUAAAUACUCUUAUCACUUAAUACACAAAUUAAACAUUUGAUGGUAAUGCUAAUACAGAAGCUAUUUCUCUCUUAAUUUGAUUUUUCUGUAGAAAUUCUAGUCAGUGACAGAUUUAGUCAGUGACAGUGAAUAAACUGUAUUCUCUAACUUCAUGUAUAAAUGAGUGCAUUUACUGCAGGGGGAAGGGGGGGGUGAAAUUCCUUUAUUUGCAUCGCUGGCCUCAUUCUGUCAACAUAUCACCCAGAUUGCUGGAUACACACAGAGAUGCAUUCUGGCAAUGCUAGGAAGGGACCUGCACCUCCUGCUGUCUAUUUCAAAUUAUUAGUAAUAGGAUGAUGCUUCUGGCACAUCUAAAAUAAAUUAAUAUUGGAUUAAUUCAAUUCAAGGAGGUGUCAGGAAAACAUAUUGCAGAUUCAUUCAUCACAAAGUUGAGACCAAUGUGUUUCAAAAGUAGUACCACAGUAAUUAUGUUUACAUGUAUAAUUGCCUAAAGUUGAGCCAAAUGACAGAAAGUAUUCUAACACUUUCCAACAUGUCUUCAGUGCUG